Molecule: ribosomal RNA, 231 nt
Filed under: uncultured bacterium
Lineage: Bacteria
Description: partial 16S ribosomal RNA
Rfam family: Bacterial small subunit ribosomal RNA
Source: RNAcentral
CAUAGAGUGGCGACCGGGUGAGUAACACGUGACUAACCUACCUCCGAGUGGGGAAUAACUCCGGGAAACCGGGGCUAAUACCGCAUAACAUCGCGAGAUCAAAGCAGCAAUGCGCUUGGAGAGGGGGUCGCGGCUGAUUAGCUAGUUGGCGGGGUAACGGCCCACCAAGGCGAAGAUCGGUAGCCGGCCUGAGAGGGCGCACGGCCACACUGGAACUGAAACACGGUCCAG